AGCGGAGGAAAAGAAACCAACAGGGAUUGCCUCAGUAACGGCGAGUGAAGCGGCAACAGCUCAAAUUUUAAAGCUGGCGUCUUCGGCGUCCGCGUUGUAAUUUGGAGAGGCAUCUUCGGUUUGGGCGCCAGCCUAUGUUCCUUGGAACAGGACGUCACAGAGGGUGAGAAUCCCGUGCUUGCUGGCUGUCCCAUUCCAUGUGAAGUGUCUUCGACGAGUCGAGUUGUUUGGGAAUGCAGCUCAAAAUGGGUGGUAAAUUUCAUCUAAAGCUAAAUAUUGGUGGGAGACCGAUAGCGCACAAGUAGAGUGAUCGAAAGAUGAAAAGCACUUUGAAAAUAGAGUUAAAAAGUACGUGAAAUUGUUGAAAGGGAAGCGCUUGAGACCAGACUCGGCUGGUGAUGAUCAGCUGUCCUUCUGGGCAGUGCACUUGUCGCCGGCCGGGCCAGCAUCGGUUGAGACGGCGGGAUAAAGAUCUCGGGAAUGUGGCUCCUUUCGGGGAGUGUUAUAGCCCGGGGUGCAAUGCCGCCAGCCUCGACCGAGGACCGCGCUUCGGCUAGGAUGCUUGGCGUAAUGGUCUUCAGCGACCCGUCU
RNAcentral lists this ribosomal RNA (591 nucleotides) under Verpa cf. conica M503. RNAcentral's name for it is "eukaryotic LSU rRNA". It matches the Rfam family "Eukaryotic large subunit ribosomal RNA", at positions 49 to 654 of the family's 3401-position model. Lineage: Eukaryota; Fungi; Ascomycota; Pezizomycetes; Pezizales; Morchellaceae. The record is from RNAcentral.